GACGAACGCUGGCGGCGUGCUUAACACAUGCAAGUCGAACGGAAAGGCCUGCUUUCCCUUGUGGAUUGCGGGUACUCGAGUGGCGAACGGGUGAGUAACACGUGAGUGAUCUGCCCCCAACUUGGGUAUAAGCCUGGGAAACUGGGUCUAAUUCCCGAUAGGACUGCAGGGUGGUGCCUGUGGUGGAAAACGAUUUUCUAGUGGUUGGGGAUGAGCUCGCGGCCUAUCAGCUUGUUGGUGGGGUAAUGGCCUACCAAGGCGGCGACGGGUAGCCGGCCUGAGAGGGUGGACGGGCACAUUGGGACUGAGCUACGGCCCAGACGCCUACGGGAGGCAGCAGUGGGGAAUAUUGCACAAUGGGCGGAAGCCUGAUGCCGCGACGGCGCGUGGGGGAUGACGGCCUUCGGGUUGUAAACUCCUUUCGACCGCGAGGAAGCCACCUGGUUGGAAGGGUGGUGACGGUAGUGGUAGAAGAAGCACCGGCUAACUACGU
Molecule: ribosomal RNA, 493 nt
Filed under: uncultured bacterium
Lineage: Bacteria
Description: partial 16S ribosomal RNA
Rfam family: Bacterial small subunit ribosomal RNA
Source: RNAcentral